GGGUAGUCCUGGAACCAAUGUCUCAUGAAUACUGAAGGCCAACUGUAUUUCUUGCAGCAAUGAAAAAAAGUAAAGCUACGCACAACAAUAUGGAUGACCAUCACAAACAAAAUUUUAAAAAUAUGAUACAGAUGGUGACAUAGGUGUUUGCUUUAUGAUUAUUUGUUAAACCAAAUCAGCACAUUAUUUGCUUUUCUUUAGUUAUAUUUCACAGUUUAAAAAUUCUAAUAUUUGUUUUCUAUUUGGGGGAAGUCCCACCCAAUGUCUUCAAUCUUCAGGUGGAAAUUUGCCACUUGGCUACCUCUAAAUGCACAGUCCAGAAGAGUAAAAACAGCAACAAUGACAAGAUUCUGUUUAAGAAAAAAGAAGAUAGAUAGAUAUUUGAAUGUUGUGGAGAUGUUGGCAGGUGUGAUGCAGCAAGCAUGGAGACUAAAGCAAAUCAUGGAUUGUGGAGCAGAACUUGGACCAAAUCCAAAUCCCAAUAAGCAUUGCUGAACACUUGCAUCAGCUCAGGAUUGCCUAUCUAUAGACUCCCACAUCACACACCAUUAGAUGCAGAGGCUACAUCCUAAGAAGUAUUCCAGAAAUGUUAGAACGUAAAAAUUAUUUCUCACUCUGUCCACCUGUUGAAAAAUAGAGGCCAUUGUUGUAGGGCCCCAUCCAGGGGCCUAUGUCAUAUAAAUUACUGAACAACAGUUUAUUGAUCCAUUCUCAUGCUGUUCUAAAGAACUACUCAAGACUGGGUAAUUUAUAAAGAGAAGAGGUUUAAUUGACUCACAGUUUCACAGGCUGUGCAGAAGGCACGGCUGGGGAGGCCUCUAGAAACUUACAAUCAUAGCUGAAAGCGAAGGGGAAGCAGUCACGUCUUCAUAUGGCAGCAGGAGACAGAAAGAGUGAAGGGGGAAGUACUACACACUUUUAAACAACUAGAUCACAUGAGAACUCUAUCACAAGAACAGCAAGGGGGAGGUCCACCCCCAUGAUCCAAUCACCUCCCACCAGGGUCCUCCUCCAACACAUGGGGAUUACAAUUCAACAUGAGAAUUGGGUUGGGACACAGAGCCAAACCAUAUCAGACAGUCAUUUGAAAUUUGACUUAAAAUCAGUAAACUACCUAGAUAAGAGAUUAUAAAUAACUU
RNAcentral lists this long non-coding RNA (1139 nucleotides) under Papio anubis (olive baboon). RNAcentral's name for it is "lncRNA (ENSPANG00000039083.1)". The record is from RNAcentral. Lineage: Eukaryota; Metazoa; Chordata; Mammalia; Primates; Cercopithecidae.